Non-coding RNA from Dipodomys ordii (Ord's kangaroo rat), 65 nucleotides. NCBI's taxonomy places the organism in Eukaryota, Metazoa, Chordata, Mammalia, Rodentia, Heteromyidae. The record is from Rfam.
GGUGGCUCAGUGGUAGAGUGCUUGCCUCACAAGCAUGUGGCCCUGGGUUUGAUCCCUCAGCACCA